Gasterosteus aculeatus aculeatus (three-spined stickleback) is the source of this 1230-nucleotide long non-coding RNA. The record is from Ensembl. NCBI's taxonomy places the organism in Eukaryota, Metazoa, Chordata, Actinopteri, Perciformes, Gasterosteidae.
GGAUGGCGGGCUAAAGGUCAAAGCCGAGAGACGAGACGGAUUGAAUUGGCAAAAGGCCGCCCGUCUCUGUGGACGUUAACAGGAGACAGAGACAAAGUGCGGAUCGCUGUGUCCCGCGUGUAACGGAGGACGUUUUCUCCCACCGCUGACAAACGAGUGUCUCGUUCGUCGGUCGAUUCAUCCCCACGUUUAACUUUUCAUGGGACUUUCCGCCUGGUGGCAGUUAAAAAAUAAGUUAAAGGAGGCAUCGCUUCAAAUGCGACAGUCUCUCUUCAUCAAACUCCAACUCCGGGAGAGGAGGCGAUGGCUGAAAUGUCAUUAAAGGAACACAAAAGUCGGAUAGAAGUGACGCCCGCGGCCUCUUCCAGGUGCCGAGGUUCCUCCUCGUUGGACGGCUCUUUACCAGCGUGUCCUUGUGUGUGCUGAAGAUGCAUUGUCCAUUCACUCUAAACUAAUAUCCCAGCGCAGACUCGGUCAAUAUGUCCUAUUAUGUCGCCGAGGACAAUACAUCGAGUGUGUGGGUGCCACCACUGUGUGCGUGUGUGUGUGUGUCUGCGACGAAGUGAAUGUGUGUCCAUGCACGUUGUGUGUAAGUAGGCGUGCAAGUGACUGGAAUAUAUUUGUGCAUUAAGCCCACAAAAUAAAUGCACGUUACUUAUCUCGUGGUUGCGUGUUUGUACAGGUGCGUACGUGCACACAAGCACGACCACAUGUUUGCACAUAGAGAGCAUGCGUGCUUUCCACCCGCCUGCAACAUGUGAGCUCUCAGUGCAUUGAUGGAGGUGGUUGUGAGCAGGACCCGGCUCAGCUGUUUGUGCGAGUGGCGCGGAGUGAUAUGGUGACAGCUGUUUUUUUCUGAUGCGAGCACAUCGCUCACGGCGACGUCACGCCGAAUAACAAAACUCUUUUUCUUUAACAGAGAGUAGAGCUGCAGAUCUGAUCUGUGGAGCCGCAGAAACCGAGAAUUCAGGCAAAGAUGAGGCCAGCAGCCGCUUUAAGCCCGACUGGGACGCGUUUGCUAAACUCAGCGGUGUGAUUGUUUCCUUGUCUCGUUCUGUGAGUCCACGUUGGUUCACUUGUAUCCAUCUGCCUGUUUUUAGCCAUCAGCCUCCUUUCAUCCACGAUGUGAAAGAUUCAUGCAUCGUCUCAGCGAAGAGCUGGGAAUGAUUAAACAUUCAGAUUCCAACUUGGAAAACGGAGGCCGAAGUGGUCUGUGUGUGUGUGCGUGUG